AAGAGACACCGAAUGUCGUCUACAGUGUCAUCGGAGUGAUAGGUGGAGCUGUAGUUGGCUGCGUCAUCAACGCCGCAGUCGUCAUCGCGUGGAUGAAGAAGAGAAACAUAAGAAGAGAAGACAACAUUAACACACCAAACAUCUACGAUUCUGCCUCCCAUUGUGAAGACAUGGAUCACCAGUACGGUAUCGUAGAGAAGCAGUACGUCAACACUGUGGAGGGUACAGCGACUGAUACUCCAGAUUAUGUGAACACAGAUGACGACAAGUGGGACACAGCCUACUUCAACAUAGUACAUGAUGCAAACCUGCCUUGAAGGACCCACAAUAGAAGGAUUCUGUGAUGUGGAAGUACUGCGAUCAGAAUGAUGUGAAAGAUCUACUCAAUGGUUAACAUGAAACGUUCUUGAAUAUUCAAUAUUUACAAGACAAAUACUGCUAACUCUCUACAUGAUAUAUGUUCAGACAUCAUUGUUGACGCAAUGGAGGCACCAAUGUUGAUAUAAUGUUGACAUCAUUCCUGACGUAAAAUAAUUACUAUUGUUGAUGUUAUAGUGACACCAUUGUUGAUGUACUGGAGGCACCAUUAUUGACGUACAUCGCUGACUUAAUUUAGACACCAUUGUUGUAAUGUAGACACAUUUGUUGUUGUAAUGUAGACACCAUUACUGUUGUUAUGAAGACACCAUUGUAGUUGUAAUGCAGACACCAUUUUUGUUGUAAUGUAGACACCAUUGAUGUUGUAAUUUAGACGACAUUGGGGUUGUAAUGUAGACACCAUUGUUGACAUAAUGCAGAUACCAUUGUAGAUACCAUAUCACCAUAACUUUUUGCCGAUACAAUUUUUGACGUCAUGAAGAUGCCAUUGUUGACAUAAUUCAGGCACCAUUGUUGACGUAAUGAAGAUGCCAUUGUUGACAUAAUUCAGGCACCAUUGUUGACGUCAUGAAGAUGCCAUUGUUGACAUAAUUCAGGUACCAUUGUUGACGUUAUGAAGAUGACAUUGUUGACGUAAUGAAGUUGUUAAUGUUGACAUAAUGCAGGCAACAUUGUCGAUAUAAUGCAGACACCGUGGUUGACGUAAUAAAGACACCAUUCCUCA
Haliotis rufescens (red abalone) is the source of this 1102-nucleotide long non-coding RNA. RefSeq lists it as uncharacterized. The record is from RefSeq and is a predicted model, not a curated record. The transcript is spliced from 2 exons. NCBI's taxonomy places the organism in Eukaryota, Metazoa, Mollusca, Gastropoda, Lepetellida, Haliotidae.